RNAcentral lists this ribosomal RNA (208 nucleotides) under Clostridioides difficile. RNAcentral describes it as "partial 23S ribosomal RNA". It matches the Rfam family "Bacterial large subunit ribosomal RNA", at positions 2489 to 2696 of the family's 2925-position model. The record is from RNAcentral. Lineage: Bacteria; Bacillati; Bacillota; Clostridia; Peptostreptococcales; Peptostreptococcaceae.
CCCCCAAGAGUCCACAUCGACGGGGAGGUUUGGCACCUCGAUGUCGGCUCAUCACAUCCUGGGGCGGUAGUAGGUCCCAAGGGUUGGGCUGUUCGCCCAUUAAAGUGGUACGCGAGCUGGGUUCAGAACGUCGUGAGACAGUUCGGUCCCUAUCCGUCGCAGGCGUAGGAAAUUUGAGAAGACCUGUCCUUAGUACGAGAGGACCGGG